UGCGUGCGUGUGUAUGUGUGUGUGUGUGUAUGAGUACAUAUAUACAUAGUACAUUUUACAGACUAAUUAUUUAUACACACACACACACACACACACACACACA
This 103-nucleotide microRNA precursor is filed under the name Marmota monax (woodchuck). The record is from RNAcentral. Lineage: Eukaryota; Metazoa; Chordata; Mammalia; Rodentia; Sciuridae.